AUUGAACGCUGGCGGCAUGCUUUACACAUGCAAGUCGAACGGUAACAGGCCGCAAGGUGCUGACGAGUGGCGAACGGGUGAGUAAUGCAUCGGAACGUGCCCAGUCGUGGGGGAUAACGCAGCGAAAGCUGUGCUAAUACCGCAUACGAUCUAUGGAUGAAAGCGGGGGACCGUAAGGCCUCGCGCGAUUGGAGCGGCCGAUGUCAGAUUAGGUAGUUGGUGGGGUAAAGGCCCACCAAGCCAACGAUCUGUAGCUGGUCUGAGAGGACGACCACCCACACUGGAACUGAGACACGGUCCAGACUCCUACGGGAGGCAGCAGUGGGGAAUUUUGGACAAUGGGCGCAAGCCUGAUCCAGCAAUGCCGCGUGCAGGAAGAAGGCCUUCGGGUUGUAAACUGCUUUUGUACGGAACGAAACGGUCUGGGUUAAUACCUCAGGCUAAUG
This 446-nucleotide ribosomal RNA is filed under the name uncultured bacterium. RNAcentral's name for it is "bacterial SSU rRNA". It matches the Rfam family "Bacterial small subunit ribosomal RNA", at positions 30 to 474 of the family's 1533-position model. The record is from RNAcentral.